GCGCAUGCAUAACUGCCAGUUCGAGCGAGCUUGGCCAAGAUGUUUUACGUGCUCUGCACUAAAUGAAACUAGAUACAAGCGAGCGGCGGACGGGUGAGUAACACGUGGGUAACCUGCCCAAGAGACUGGGAUAACACCUGGAAACAGACGCUAAUACCGGAUAACAACACUAGACGCAUGUCUAGAGUUUGAAAGAUGGUUCUGCUAUCACUCUCGGAUGGACCUGCGGUGCAUUAGCUAGUUGGUAAGGUAACGGCUUACCAAGGCAAUGAUGCAUAGCCGAGUUGAGAGACUGAUCGGCCACAUUGGGACUGAGACACGGCCCAAACUCCUACGGGAGGCAGCAGUAGGGAAUCUUCCACAAUGGACGAAAGUCUGAUGGAGCAACGCCGCGUGGGUGAAGAAGGGUUUCGGCUCGUAAAGCUCUGUUGGUAGUGAAGAAAGAUAGAGGUAGUAACUGGCCUUUAUUUGACGGUAAUUACUUAGAAAGUCACGGCUAACUACGUGCCAGCAGCCGCGGUAAUACGUAGGUGGCAAGCGUUGUCCGGAUUUAUUGGGCGUAAAGCGAGUGCAGGCGGUUCAAUAAGUCUGAUGUGAAAGCCUUCGGCUCAACCGGAGAAUUGCAUCAGAAACUGUUGAACUUGAGUGCAGAAGAGGAGAGUGGAACUCCAUGUGUAGCGGUGGAAUGCGUAGAUAUAUGGAAGAACACCAGUGAAUCACUAGUGAAU
Molecule: ribosomal RNA, 728 nt
Filed under: uncultured bacterium
Lineage: Bacteria
Description: bacterial SSU rRNA
Rfam family: Bacterial small subunit ribosomal RNA
Source: RNAcentral